Xenia sp. Carnegie-2017 is the source of this 778-nucleotide long non-coding RNA. RefSeq lists it as uncharacterized. NCBI's taxonomy places the organism in Eukaryota, Metazoa, Cnidaria, Anthozoa, Malacalcyonacea, Xeniidae. The record is from RefSeq and is a predicted model, not a curated record. The transcript has 2 exons.
AAAAAUAAUCAUGUAAAACUAGCAUUUAAAAUAAACAUCAAUGUAUUUGUGACAUCAAUCUUUUGCCUUGCUAUUUUUAUUUCUUUUUGUCCUUCUGGUGAGUGGUUACAACAGAAGAACGGCAUAAGAACGCCUUAGGAAGAGAAACGAGAAUUCAGCAGACCGAAUGCAUGGAGGAACUAACUUGCAGUCAAUAUAAGACAAGUUCCUGACACAAAUUAGUCCAAAGAAGGUUGGAAGUGAGGGAGGAGGCUUCUCACUCGUACGUGCUCAUCGAGUGUGAAUCAGAAAUUGUGCUCUUACGUAUCAAAGGCAGACUCGUCUAUCGACGAAUGGAAGCUUUGUUUAGUCGAGAAAAAUUGGCUGGGUAUUCAGUAUAUGUCAAAUCUGGAAUGCCAUUAUUUACAUAUCAUAUGAUACAAUGACAUAGAAAUUGCGACAUAUUGACAGCAAUGUGAAUUUCUGAAGAAAUAUUUAAAAUUCAAACAACCGCUGGGGGUAAAUAAUUUCUUGUUGUUUUAGCUGUAUAUUAUGUUAUUUCUCUUAAGUAAAAAGUCAACACUGAAGAUAGAACAGUGAAAACAUUUAUUCGCAUUUCAUUUAUCAGAACUCGAGUUAUGAGCGGGCUUUGUAUUUUUAAUGAAAAAAAGUGAACAAAUUGAACAAGUGAACAAAAUAUAAACAUACUUCAAUUGCCAAUGCUAAAGUCGAGUUAUUGUUAUGAAAAUUUCAACUAUGUGCAAUGUAUUCACCACAAAUGAAAAUCUCACAUUGAAAA